GUCCCCAUCGUCUAGAGGCCUAGGACAUCGCCCUUUCACGGCGAUAACAGGGGUUCGAAUCCCCUUGGGGACGCCA
RNAcentral lists this transfer RNA (76 nucleotides) under bacterium. RNAcentral describes it as "tRNA-Glu". It matches the Rfam family "tRNA". From Rfam's summary of the family: Transfer RNA (tRNA) molecules are approximately 80 nucleotides in length. Their secondary structure includes four short double-helical elements and three loops (D, anti-codon, and T loops). Further hydrogen bonds mediate the characteristic L-shaped molecular structure. tRNAs have two regions of fundamental functional importance: the anti-codon, which is responsible for specific mRNA codon recognition, and the 3' end, to which the tRNAs corresponding amino acid is attached (by aminoacyl-tRNA synthetases). tRNAs cope with the degeneracy of the genetic code in two manners: having more than one tRNA (with a specific anti-codon) for a particular amino acid; and 'wobble' base-pairing, i.e. permitting non-standard base-pairing at the 3rd anti-codon position. The record is from RNAcentral. RNAcentral also lists the same sequence under 10 other names.